AUGCAUAAAUUAAUCAAGAGUAGCCCUUGGAGAUGUGUAUGGUAACUUUUUCUGGGCAAAACUCAUUUCUCAAAGCGUCAUCCAACUUCAAGAAUACUGAUGAGAGUAACCCUGCAAACGAAGAAAUUUAAACUCACAAUGACGCCACACCCCUCGUAAUAUAACAAAAUACAAAUAAAGUGUCAUAUUACAUAUUAAACAUUUGUGUAUAAAUAAAAUAUAACAAAAUACAAAUAAAGCGUCAUAUUACAUAUUAAACAUAACCCGUUUAUUAGUGACUUGGUUACGGAUCAAACAUAGCCCUGAAUAUAUAAUCUCUGAGAGUCCAUCCUGUAGAUAUUGAUCAUGUUUCAUGCUAGUUUUAAAAUUCUUCACAAGGAACAUGAAGGCAAAAAAUAACUAC
Molecule: long non-coding RNA, 403 nt
Filed under: Helianthus annuus (common sunflower)
Lineage: Eukaryota; Viridiplantae; Streptophyta; Magnoliopsida; Asterales; Asteraceae
Description: sRNA HanXRQr2_Chr16g0728751
Source: RNAcentral